GGAGGANCACCGGUGGCGAAAGCGGCUCUNUGGUCUGUAACUGACGCUGAGGCUCGAAAGCGUGGGGAGCGAACAGGAUUAGAUACCCUGGUAGUCCACGCCGUAAAUGAUGAGUGCUAGGUGUUAGGCCCUUUCCGGGACUUAGUGCCGCAGCUAACGCAUUAAGCACUCCGCCUGGGGAGUACGACCGCAAGGUUGAAACUCAAAGGAAUCGACGGGGGCCCGCACAAGCGGUGGAGCAUGUGGUUUAAUUCGAAGCAACACGAAGAACCUUACCAGGUCUUGACAUCCCGAUGCCCGCUCUAGAGAUAGAGUUUUACUUCGGUACAUCGGUGACAGGUGGUGCAUGGUUGUCGUCAGCUCGUGUCGUGAGAUGUUGNNNNANNNNNNNNNNNCGAGCGCAACCCUUAUUGUUAGUUGCCAUCAUUCAGUUGGGCACUCUAGCGAGACUGCCGGUAAUAAANNGGAGGAAGGUGGGGAUGACGUCAAAUCAUCAUGCCCCUUAUGACCUGGGCUACACACGUGCUACAAUGGCUGGUACAACGAGUCGCAAGUCGGUGACGGCAAGCUAAUCUCUUAAAGCCAGUCUCAGUUCGGAUUGUAGGCUGCAACUCGCCUACAUGAAGUCGGAAUCGCUAGUAAUCGCGGAUCAGCACGCCGCGGUGAAUACGUUCCCGGGC
RNAcentral lists this ribosomal RNA (680 nucleotides) under uncultured bacterium. RNAcentral's name for it is "partial 16S ribosomal RNA". It matches the Rfam family "Bacterial small subunit ribosomal RNA", at positions 700 to 1379 of the family's 1533-position model. The record is from RNAcentral.